This 1184-nucleotide ribosomal RNA is filed under the name uncultured bacterium. RNAcentral describes it as "bacterial SSU rRNA". It matches the Rfam family "Bacterial small subunit ribosomal RNA", at positions 256 to 1454 of the family's 1533-position model. The record is from RNAcentral.
GGUAAAGGCCUACCAAGGCGACGAUCUAUAGCCGACCUGAGAGGGUGAUCGGCCACACUGGAACUGAGACACGGUCCAGACUCCUACGGGAGGCAGCAGUGGGGAAUAUUGCACAAUGGGGGAAACCCUGAUGCAGCAACGCCGCGUGAGCGAUGAAGGCUUUCGAGUCGUAAAGCUCUGUCCUAAGGGAAGAAUAAUGACGGUACCUUAGGAGGAAGCCCCGGCUAACUACGUGCCAGCAGCCGCGGUAAUACGUAGGGGGCAAGCGUUAUCCGGAAUCACUGGGCGUAAAGGGUGCGUAGGCGGCUAAUCAAGCCAGGGGUGAAAGGCUACGGCUUAACCGUAGUAAGCCUUUGGAACUGAUUAGCUUGAGUGCAGGAGAGGAGAGUGGAAUUCCUAGUGUAGCGGUGAAAUGCGUAGAUAUUAGGAGGAACACCAGUGGCGAAGGCGACUCUCUGGACUGUAACUGACGCUGAGGCACGAAAGCGUGGGGAGCAAACAGGAUUAGAUACCCUGGUAGUCCACGCCGUAAACGAUGAGUGCUAGGUGUCGGGGGUUCACACCCUCGGUGCCGGAGUUAACGCAAUAAGCACUCCGCCUGGGGAGUACGGUCGCAAGACUGAAACUCAAAGGAAUUGACGGGGACCCGCACAAGCAGCGGAGCAUGUGGUUUAAUUCGAAGCAACGCGAAGAACCUUACCAGGACUUGACAUCCCUUUGACCAGUCCUUAAUCGGACUUUUCCCUUCGGGGACAAAGGAGACAGGUGGUGCAUGGUUGUCGUCAGCUCGUGUCGUGAGAUGUUGGGUUAAGUCCCGCAACGAGCGCAACCCUUAUUUUUAGUUGCCAUCAGGUAAUGCUGGGCACUCUAGAGAGACUGCCGGUGAUAAACCGGAGGAAGGUGGGGAUGACGUCAAAUCAUCAUGCCCCUUAUGUUCUGGGCUACACACGUGCUACAAUGGCUGGUACAACGGGAAGCUAAGGAGCAAUCUGGAGCAAAUCCUAUAAAGCCAGUCCCAGUUCGGAUUGUGGGCUGAAACUCGCCCACAUGAAGUCGGAGUUGCUAGUAAUCGUGAAUCAGAAUGUCGCGGUGAAUGCGUUCCCGGGUCUUGUACACACCGCCCGUCACACCAUGGGAGUUGGGAGCACCCGAAGUCAGCUAUCUAACGCGAAAGCGAAGAGGUG